This 286-nucleotide ribosomal RNA is filed under the name uncultured bacterium. Its description in RNAcentral is "partial 16S ribosomal RNA". It matches the Rfam family "Bacterial small subunit ribosomal RNA", at positions 28 to 312 of the family's 1533-position model. The record is from RNAcentral.
GAUGAACGCUAGCGGCAGGCCUAAUACAUGCAAGUCGAGGGGCAGCAGGGAUAGCAAUAUUCGCUGGCGACCGGCGCACGGGUGCGUAACACGUAUACAAUCUGCCUUUAACUGGGGGAUAGCCCGGAGAAAUCCGGAUUAAUACCCCAUAAUAGUUUUCUUGGCAUCAAGAGAAUUUGAAAGCUCCGGCGGUUAGAGAUGAGUAUGCGACUGAUUAGCUAGUUGGUGAGGUAACGGCUCACCAAGGCGACGAUCAGUAGGGGAUCUGAGAGGAUUAACCCCCACA